GAGUACCCGAAAUUUUUCUUUCCUUUAAAAAUUCCGGCCUUUUUCACAGUUUGGCCUUCCAUCCUUGCGUUCGUCUUAAGAAAUGGGAAAAAAAUCGCGUAUUAUCUUUUAUUCCACCGGAAGGAAAGUUUGCUCUAAUGGAAUACUCUGUUGAAAAAGAUAAGUUUCCAUUACCUCUGCAAAUCUCUCAUUCGUGGAAAUCACAGGGUGACAGCCUUCAUUUGAAAGUUGAC
Zophobas morio is the source of this 233-nucleotide long non-coding RNA. RefSeq lists it as uncharacterized. The transcript has 3 exons. The record is from RefSeq and is a predicted model, not a curated record. Lineage: Eukaryota; Metazoa; Arthropoda; Insecta; Coleoptera; Tenebrionidae.